RNAcentral lists this long non-coding RNA (1277 nucleotides) under Homo sapiens (human). RNAcentral describes it as "HSALNT0310358". The record is from RNAcentral. Lineage: Eukaryota; Metazoa; Chordata; Mammalia; Primates; Hominidae.
CCCCAGUAGGCCGGGCUGGAGCCAUCAUGGGCUCUACUUGUUGCACCUGAAACAAUGAAAUAUUUAUCAAAAUAUCUCAGUUGAUUUUUCCCUCGUAAUUAAGGCAGGGUUAAGAAGGUGGAUUCCUCACUUUCUCCAGCCAAAGUUAUCUGAACACAAAGGCUGGCCUCUUGGUGGAGAGAGUUACAUGGAAACCCCUCUGGCGUGUUGAGCAAUGACCUGGCACAAGUCAGUCCCUGCUGGAACCCAGCCCAAAACUCCAUUGGCGAGAGGCAAAGGCUCCCUGCCCCCUGCAAUGAGACCUACUCUCCCCAGGACUUCGCAGCACCUCAACGCCCUGCUGUACUGACCAAGGCCUGAAAGGCCCUCCUCACUGCCAUGCCCCGAGAGGCCCACUUUGCCCAUCUGAGGCCCCUACUCUCCAAUCCUUAAUGAAGAUAAAUUCUCACUGCCAUUACUGAAGCACACAAGGAAAGCUAGGUUUAAAUAUAAAAUUCUGGGUCAGUGAGUUGGCCUGCUUCAUUCUUUUCACAUAUCCCAGGCCACAAACGAAAAGAGACAAAUUUCUCUGCAUCUCCGUUGCUCUAAGAAUUUACAUUGAACUGGUGGUGGGGGAAAGGUGGAAGUUUGGGGAGGAAGAAGGUGUUCUGGAAGUUUCUUCAUGCUGUGGUUACAUGAAGUGAAGAAGGCAGAAUAUUCCCCAAACCAACUUGGUGUCCACAGGGCCAAUGCCAUUGCCGUGGGGUUCUCUAGCUCCCCCAAGAUGGGCAGAAGCUGGGGAAGGUCCUUGUAUGAGGCCAGGAGGACUGCCUGGUGGUGCCAGGAACAGAGCCUUCAGCAGGGAUGCCAGAGGGCCAGGCGGAGGCUCAGAGACAAAUGAAGCCAGCCUGGAUCAGCUGCCCGCUGGCCCAUCUGCAGACUUGGGAGCUAAGCUAAGAAGUGUUUACUGUUGUGUUACUGUAUCUGGCUGAAGAACUAUGGUUGUUUGUUACACAGCAUCAGUAUGGCCACAGCUAACUAAUACACAGGCCGAAAAACAGACCCUACCUCCUAGAGUUCUAGGGAGGAUUCAAUAAAAACAAUCCACAUAAAAUCCUUAGACAAGAGUUUCAGUUGGGGAAGAUGAAAAAUUUGUGGAAAUGGGUGGUGGUGAUGGUUGCACAAUAAUGUGAAUAUAUUUAAUGCUGCUGAACCACACACUUAUAAAUGGCUAAAAUGGUAAAUUUUAUGUUAUGUGUAUUUUAGCACAAUUAAAAAAUACCACAUAGUGCCUGGCA